AAUACAACUGCUGCAGUGCAAACACAAUCUUAUUGAAACACAGAAUAGUAAAUAUGAGUAUACUUGGACACUACAAUGUAAAUAUCUGAAGAAAACUCUUUAUUAGGCUAGUUAGGUACUGUUGCAUUCCCGCACAGGCACAAAUAAAGACAGCCCCUUUCUGUGGGGAGGACCCUAUAGCCUCACAAAUCCUGACCAGGAGGUGCUGCUGCAGGUGAUCCUGUGAUGGCGUCUUUCUUUCCACCAAAACAGUGAAUGGAAGCAGACAGCCAGAUCCUGAGAAGGUUGGUGUCUGACAUUGCUGACGUGGCUUCUGCAGCUGCACAAGUGCACUGAAACAUUCACCAGAAUGAAAGAAAAUCCUGUUAUUCCCUGUGAUGUCUGAUAUUCCUGCUUCCAAACCACAAGUGUCAUGGUGUGUCCAUGAAUUCAGAGGGAAGGAGGCGGAGUUCAUGUGGUGUAAUAAAAGUAAGCUUGGAGGAAAAUGUGACAGAUGUGGAGGCCUGUGCCAGCGAGAAAAGCGAGAGUUGGACUGUCAGACAUGUCGACUCCGGCGUAGUGAUGGAUGGAGAGUGAGGUAAGACAGAUGACAUCGUCUGUCUGAGGCUGUGUUGUCAUAGUGGAGGAUUGCCGCUUGUCUUAACCUCUCAAUAUCAGAGAGCAAACUGAAGUUUGUUUACACUGCUCCAGUGGAGUGAUUUAGAAUGAGGGGCGAGGGAGAGUGGGUGUAGAAGGUAUGCUCGCUGGAGGGUCAGAUCAGGUUUCUAAACAUUCCCUUUGAAAUCGAAUAGCAACCAUCCCAGGCGUUUUAAACCCAACCAGUCCCACUUGGUUGCAAGGUGGAGAGGAGUCCAAACACAAAUACAAACAGAGGAAAUUAAAUAUCAGUAUCAGUAUCGGCCUUUAAACACCCAUAUCAGUCAAUCCAGCCUGGACCGUGCCAAACUAAAAAAGUGGGUAAAUUAUUGCUCUAGUUUGGUAUGGAGCCAUCACAAAGCAAUAAAAAGGCCAAAUGCAAGAGUUACAAGAAGCACUAAUGUGUACUUCUGAGAAUAGAGAACCUUUUUUGACAAUAUUUUUCUUUCUUUUCUACAAUUAAUUUAUUUAUAAAAAUGAUUGUCUGCCUUGAAAUGUAAGUAACAUCUUUUCUGCAAAUGAAAAGGUCAGUAAAAUAAGCUCC
This is a long non-coding RNA of Micropterus salmoides (largemouth bass), 1180 nucleotides long. RefSeq lists it as uncharacterized. The record is from RefSeq and is a predicted model, not a curated record. Lineage: Eukaryota; Metazoa; Chordata; Actinopteri; Centrarchiformes; Centrarchidae. The transcript has 4 exons.